Cyprinodon tularosa is the source of this 440-nucleotide long non-coding RNA. RefSeq lists it as uncharacterized. The transcript has 3 exons. The record is from RefSeq and is a predicted model, not a curated record. NCBI's taxonomy places the organism in Eukaryota, Metazoa, Chordata, Actinopteri, Cyprinodontiformes, Cyprinodontidae.
UUUUAGUGAUUUACUGCAUCGGGAUAUUUUCAAUGAUGCUGCUAAGCCUCUUGGAGACAAUUUGGGUGAAUUAUCUGAUGGAGAAAGACUCACACGAUGAUGGCCAGAUAGAGAGUGACAACAAACUGAUAAAGGCCUCUUCCAUUGAGAUGAUGGAUCAAACAACAUCUAUGUACCAAAGGGGUGGAAGCAGCCAACUGACUGGGCUCCUGGAAAAAAUCUCAAUUGAGCUUAGAGAGAUAAAAAAACAACUUUACAUGGCAAAAAAACAAAACAGAAGGGUGGUUACUGGACCAGAGUUGCCAAAAAAAUAGACAAGAUCUUUUCUACUGUAUAUAUCUUAGGAGUCCUUCUGUUUUUAAUUAUCAUCUUCUCAGAGUGGCAGUCACAAUUAAAGAGACACUAAAUAUUUUCUGCUUGUUUUAAAGAAACCGAGGAAG